RNAcentral lists this ribosomal RNA (522 nucleotides) under Listeria monocytogenes. RNAcentral's name for it is "partial 23S ribosomal RNA". It matches the Rfam family "Bacterial large subunit ribosomal RNA", at positions 1008 to 1529 of the family's 2925-position model. The record is from RNAcentral. Lineage: Bacteria; Bacillati; Bacillota; Bacilli; Caryophanales; Listeriaceae.
UAGUCGAAAGGGAAACAGCCCAGACCACCAGUUAAGGUCCCCAAAUAUAUGUUAAGUGGAAAAGGAUGUGGGGUUGCUUAGACAACCAGGAUGUUGGCUUAGAAGCAGCCACCAUUGAAAGAGUGCGUAAUAGCUCACUGGUCGAGUGACCCCGCGCCGAAAAUGUACCGGGGCUAAACAUAUUACCGAAACUGUGGAUGAACCUCUUUAGAGGUUCGUGGUAGGAGAGCGUUCUAAGGGCGGUGAAGUCAGACCGGAAGGACUGGUGGAGCGCUUAGAAGUGAGAAUGCCGGUAUGAGUAGCGAAAGAAGGGUGAGAAUCCCUUCCACCGAAUAUCUAAGGUUUCCUGAGGAAGGCUCGUCCGCUCAGGGUUAGUCGGGACCUAAGCCGAGGCCGAUAGGCGUAGGCGAUGGACAACAGGUAGAGAUUCCUGUACCAGUGCUAAUUGUUUAACCGAUGGGGUGACACAGAAGGAUAGGGAAUCGCACGAAUGGAAAUGUGCGUCCAAGCAGUGAGUGUGAG